CCUACGGGUGGCAGCAGUGAGGAAUAUUGGUCAAUGGACGCAAGUCUGAACCAGCCAUGCCGCGUGCAGGAAGACGGCCCUAUGAGUUGUAAACUGCUUUUGUACGAGGGUAAAUGCAGAUACGUGUAUCUGUCUGCAAGUAUCGUACGAAUAAGGAUCGGCUAAUUCCGUGCCAGCAGCCGCGGUAAUACGGAGGGUUCAAGCGUUAUCCGGAUUUAUUGGGUUUAAAGGGUGCGUAGGCGGUCGGAUAAGUUAGAGGUGAAAUGCCGAGGCUCAACUGUGGAAUUGCCUCUGAUACUGGUGGGCUAGAGAGUAGGAGCGGUAGGCGGAAUGUAUGGUGUAGCGGUGAAAUGCUGAGAGAUCAGGCAGAACACCGAUUGCGAAGGCAGCCGACC
RNAcentral lists this ribosomal RNA (395 nucleotides) under uncultured bacterium. RNAcentral's name for it is "partial 16S ribosomal RNA". It matches the Rfam family "Bacterial small subunit ribosomal RNA", at positions 338 to 730 of the family's 1533-position model. The record is from RNAcentral.